CCCUCGUGAUAGUAACAAAUCGCCAUCAAGACAAUCACCAGUUAGAACAUCUGG
Molecule: non-coding RNA, 54 nt
Filed under: Pteridomonas danica
Lineage: Eukaryota; Dictyochophyceae; Pedinellales
Source: RNAcentral